UGCUACUAGGCAAUCCUUACCUACUUUCCUUAAUUAUUUCCGCCACUCCAGCAGGAUUCUGCUGAGCGCCUCUCCUUCGCCGAGAAGCUGGCGUUUCUCUCCAUCACUCCUUGCAGCCACUCAAGUUCCAGAGCACCCCCUGCAGGCCCGGGCUCCUCCUGAGCGCUACCAGAGGCGCCUGUGACUGCUUUCGGGAAAACCACUGCCCGCCUGCCCGCAGACGACCUCAGCUCACCGUGCACGCUCAUCUCACCCGCUAAGUAAUCGUAGCCAUCUCGGGGACUUUCAGCAACUCGAAAAGGGUAUUUCCUAAAUAUUUGGUCUUGCAACGUACGCCCAUAUCUCAGCUCCUAACUUUGGAACACGGCCCUUGGUGUUCUCUUUCAAGACCCUGCUAACAGCCAGCCCCCAUCAGUACAAAAGAACCACCUCUGGCACAGCUCAUCCCUGGAUCACACUGAAAACUCCUCCUCAUCUACUUGUCUGGGACAGAUCAGCUCCCUGCCAACUCUCUGGGUUGUGGCUAUAUAUUGCACUUAAGGAAAAUUCUCCUGGCAGCUCAUCCCCAAUUUCAUUCCCACAGGGAGACAGGAAUACGUGGAAUGUGAAGCGAAUUCAAUACCCAUUCUACAGCAACCUCAAAUUGCUGAGAAAAUGACAGUGUGGUGAUGGCUGCCCUUGCGACUUUCAGCAAUCCUUCACCCCCAAAGACAGAAAGCAGCAAGAUGUUGGAUGAACUGAUCGCAGGCAGGCUGUGCUGCUGAGAGAAUUCUUACAUCACUUGUAAGUCCAAAGUCUGCUGCUCUCUUUCUAGCUCAGCAAGUCAACAGUCCAGGCUAAGUCAUGUAACCAGCCUGAACCCCCUGUUUACUCAUCUGUAACAUGGGACCACACGACCUCACUUCCUGUCACUCUUUGCAAAGAGAAGUAGAUACCCGGAGAAGAGCUGAAUCAUUACAAUUAUUUCCUUAUAUGUAUGGUCCUGGUGAUAUGUUAAUGCCUGAAAGGAUUUGCUCCAGUAUUUGAGGUGCUCAAGGGCAUCAUGAAGGGAAAGCCAUUCACCUGUGUCCUAGGCCUGCUGUUUAACACUUCUACUGAGGCAAUGGUUUCAAACAACAUCUACUCAUUUCUCACAGUUUUGGAGGCUAAAAAUCCCAACUCCAGCAGGCUGUGGCCCCCUUCCAAGGCUCCAGAGACGAAGCUACUCUUCUUUUGGCUGUCAUAUCUCCCUCUGCCUCUCAUUUUAAAGAACAUUCUUAAGGACAUUCAGGGCUCAAUGUGUAAUCUAGAAUGUCUUCACCUCAAGAUUCUUAAAUUAAUGACAUCUAAAAAACUUUUUCCAAAUAAGAUAACAUCCAUGGGUUUUGGAGAAUAAGACAUGGACAUAUUUGGGGGGGGGGGGUCAUCAUUCAACCUUCAAAUUACCCCUAACUUACCAAUGUCCCUUUCCUCUUGCUCUUUCUUCUUCUCUUUCUCCAUUUAUACCAUAGAAACUGUGGACAUGUGGUAAGACCCCAGUGGUAAAUAAGUCCAGAGUAGUGCUGGCCUCCUGAAGGCACAGCUUGCCUUCAAUACUCAAUGUCACACUUAAAGCAACUCCCUGGUUAAAUGCUAUCCCCAUUUAAAUGAGAGAAAGUAAAUGCCUGGAGACAUUAAGUGACUUGGCCAUACCAAUUCAGCUGGGUAGACGUUUACCUGACUGAUAAAUCCCGCUUCCUUCUGCUACCCAGCCUUCCUAACUCCCUUGCCUUCUUAACUUUUCCAGGCUAAUUCAACAGGUAUUCACUGGAGCCACAUGGGAAAUAUUCCUUCCUUCUCAAAGGAAGCUGGCAAAGUUCUUUUCAGUAGAUAUUGCCAAGUUUUCCUCUUCUAACCAGCUUUAUACAUGUUCUUUCCUCUCCUCGUAUUCUUGGAUGCAUUGUAAGUUCUCAUUUAUCUUCAAAACAUGAUCCUGACAGUAAGCUUUCUCAGGCCAUCAGAGAUCAGCUAUCAUCUCUCUUAUUCAAUUCACAGCCCUCCCACUGAUCUAACUCUUGGUAAUUCAACUUUCCUUUGCUCUGUCAGCUGGAGUUCAGUCUAAGCUGUUUGCUCUCUCUGGGCCUAGUUCUUAUCCGACUUAUCUUUUGUCCAUAUUUGUGCCCUUGCUUAUUCUUUCCUGAAUGGUCGCUUUGCACAUACCCUCUUAGAAUUCCAUACCUUUAAUUUCCAGCUUGCUUUCCUACAAUUAGAUUAGAGAUUUUUAGCCUUCAAAAUGUCUGCUUCCUUUCCUGACAUUGGUCGGGUUAACUCUUUCUAGACUACGCCGAUAGGAAAAACU
Condylura cristata (star-nosed mole) is the source of this 2317-nucleotide long non-coding RNA. RefSeq lists it as uncharacterized. Lineage: Eukaryota; Metazoa; Chordata; Mammalia; Eulipotyphla; Talpidae. The record is from RefSeq and is a predicted model, not a curated record. The transcript is spliced from 3 exons.